UACGAAGGGGGCUAGCGUUGCUCGGAAUCACUGGGCGUAAAGCGCACGUAGGCGGCUUUCUAAGUCAGGGGUGAAAUCCUGGAGCUCAACUCCAGAACUGCCUUUGAUACUGGGAAGCUCGAGUCCGGAAGAGGUGAGUGGAACUCCGAGUGUAGAGGUGAAAUUCGUAGAUAUUCGGAGGAACACCAGUGGCGAAGGCGGCUCACUGGUCCAUUACUGACGCUGAGGUGCGAAAGCGUGGGGAGCAAACAGG
This 253-nucleotide ribosomal RNA is filed under the name uncultured bacterium. RNAcentral describes it as "partial 16S ribosomal RNA". It matches the Rfam family "Bacterial small subunit ribosomal RNA", at positions 524 to 776 of the family's 1533-position model. The record is from RNAcentral.